GAAAAGCGAUAAGUAGUGUGAAUUGCAGAAUUCAGUGAAUCAUCGAAUCUUUGAACGCACAUUGCGCCCCUUGGUAUUCCAUGGGGCAUGCCUGUUCGAGCGUCAUCUACACCCUCAAGCUCUGCUUGGUGUUGGGCGUCUUUGUCCCGCCUCCGCGCGCGGACUCGCCCCAAAUUCAUUGGCAGCGGUCCUUGCCUCCUCUCGCGCAGCACAUUGCGCUUCUCGAGGUGUUGCGGCCCGCGUCCAGAAAGCAAUCGUUACCGUCUUUGACCUCGGAUCAGGUAGGGAUACCCGCUGAACUUAAGC
This 306-nucleotide unclassified non-coding RNA is filed under the name plant metagenome. Its description in RNAcentral is "partial contains 5.8S ribosomal RNA, internal transcribed spacer 2, and large subunit ribosomal RNA". The stretch from base 1 to 105 matches the Rfam family "5.8S ribosomal RNA", at positions 50 to 154 of the family's 154-position model. The record is from RNAcentral.